CUGAGGUUAGAUGCUGGCCCUGUGAGGGCAUGUGCGCACCUCUCUCUCACAUACCCCUUGGUCGGGGAUGCCUUUCCCUCGGGAAGGGCGUUCCCUUCCACCCUAUACCACAUCCUGUCUAACCGCAUGUCUUUGAAGCUCUACGGAGCGAGUAACAUUUUGUACAACUUUCAACAACGGAUCUCUUGGCUUUUGCAUCGAUGAAGGACGCCGCGAAAGCGCGAAACGUAAUGUGAAUUGCAGAAUUCAGUGAAUCAUCGAAUCUUUGAACGCAUCUUGCGCCCCUCGGUAUUCCGAGGAGCAUGCCUGUUUGAGUGUCGUGAAACUACUCGACCCCUCCUUUACGUGCACGUGAAGGGGGCGGUUGGAUUUGGACGCUUGCGGCGGUCUAGACCACUGGACCACCGCUCGUUUUUAAUGCCUUAGCUYGGCCCCCUUUCGAAUCGGCGAUAUGGACGGUGUGAUAAUUGACGCCUUGAACGUCGUCUGGCCGAUUUGGAUUUGGGUUGCUCGUCUUCGGACAACGUCACAUUCAUU
Molecule: ribosomal RNA, 537 nt
Filed under: Ramaria conjunctipes var. sparsiramosa
Lineage: Eukaryota; Fungi; Basidiomycota; Agaricomycetes; Gomphales; Gomphaceae
Description: eukaryotic LSU rRNA
Rfam family: 5.8S ribosomal RNA (bases 166-320)
Source: RNAcentral